RNAcentral lists this ribosomal RNA (253 nucleotides) under uncultured bacterium. RNAcentral's name for it is "partial 16S ribosomal RNA". It matches the Rfam family "Bacterial small subunit ribosomal RNA", at positions 524 to 776 of the family's 1533-position model. The record is from RNAcentral.
UACGUAGGGGGCAAGCGUUAUCCGGAUUUACUGGGUGUAAAGGGAGCGUAGAUGGCAGCGCAAGUCUGGAGUGAAAUGCCGGGGCUCAACCCCGGAACUGCUUUGGAAACUGUGCAGCUAGAGUGCGGGAGAGGUAAGCGGAAUUCCUAGUGUAGCGGUGAAAUGCGUAGAUAUUAGGAGGAACACCAGUGGCGAAGGCGGCUUACUGGACCGUAACUGACGUUGAGGCUCGAAAGCGUGGGGAGCAAACAGG